UACAGAGGGUGCUAGCGUUGUUCGGAAUUACUGGGCGUAAAGGGCGCGUAGGCGGUUUAUUAAGUUAGUUGUGAAAGACUCGGGCUCAACCUGAGAUGUGCAACUGAUACUGGUAGGCUAGAGAAUGGUAGAGGAAAGUAGAAUUUCUAGUGUAGGGGUGAUAUCCUUAGAUAUUAGAAGGAAUACCAGAGGCGAAGGCGGCUUUCUGGACCAUAUCUGACGCUGAGGCGCGAAAGCGUGGGGAGCAAACAGG
RNAcentral lists this ribosomal RNA (253 nucleotides) under uncultured bacterium. Its description in RNAcentral is "partial 16S ribosomal RNA". It matches the Rfam family "Bacterial small subunit ribosomal RNA", at positions 524 to 776 of the family's 1533-position model. The record is from RNAcentral.